CCAAUAGCGUAUAUUAAAGUUGUUGCAGUUAAAAAGCUCGUAGUUGAAUUUCGGGAUCAGCGCGUCGGUCGUGCCUCCGGUAUGCACUGGCGCCGCUGGUUUCUCCCUUCUGAGGAACCGUGAUGUCAUUAAUUUGGUGUCGCGGGAAAUCAGGACUGUUACUUUGAAAAAAUUAGAGUGUGUAAAGCGGGCACGCGCUUGAAUACAUUAGCAUGGAAUAACGAAAUAGGACGUUCGAUCUUAUUUUGUUGGUUUCUAGGAUUGACGUAAUGAUUAAUAGGGAUAGUUGGGGGCAUUAGUAUUCAAUUGUCAGAGGUGAAAUUCUUGGAUUUAUUGAAGACUAACUACUGCGAAAGCAUUUGCCAAGGAUGUUUUCAUUAAUCAAGAACGAAAGUUAGGGGAUCGAAGACGAUCAGAUACCGUCGUAGUCUUAACCAUAAACUAUGCCGACUAGGGAUCGGAUGAUGUUAAUUUUAUAAUGACUCAUUCGGCGCCUUACG
This 500-nucleotide ribosomal RNA is filed under the name uncultured Glomeromycotina. RNAcentral describes it as "partial small subunit ribosomal RNA". It matches the Rfam family "Eukaryotic small subunit ribosomal RNA", at positions 591 to 1092 of the family's 1831-position model. Lineage: Eukaryota; Fungi; Glomeromycota. The record is from RNAcentral.